AGGGAUUAAGGUUCGUGUUGUUGUGACUAUCAGACUCUCAUCUCGUUCUCGCCUCUCUCUUGUUCACUCUCGUCGCGAAGACGAACGAAACGGCGGUGGCGCAACCUUCACCUAUGAAACCCUACGGCGCGCCACCAUGAAUAUAAUCAAGGCUCUACCUCCCCCGCUCAUCUCCCCGUUCUCUCAACCCCUCAUUGAUUAUCAGCUUAACCUAAACCUCUUAACCUAAAUCACAAAACCUUUGAAGAUCCAAAAUCAAACUUAAAUUGAAACGGAACCUGGAUUCGAGCGAUUAGCAAGAGAUUAGGACUCGGGAAAUCAAGAAUGGCGUCAAGCUCUUCAAGAACGAGCAGAGAAGCUUUGUAUCAUCUCAGUGGUGGCGAUAUGGCAGCUCCUUUGGGAAGCCUUCAGAUGAUGAUUCGAAGUGAAGCGAUUCAGAGAUGUUGUUGAAGCAGUUGAGGUCGGAAGCAAUUUGAUGAAGGUUCUCGAUGAGCUCUGAGUAUGGAUGAUUUUGAAGGAUUGAUGAAGAGGUUUUCUGUAUGGUGGAGAUUGUAGAUGAAGAUGGAUGAAGAACUCAGAAGAACGAAGAAGAAGAAUGAUUGAAUUGAGGAGAAUGGUUGAAGGGAAGAUGGUGAUGAAGUGAGAGUGAAAGUGUGAAUUGAAGGUUUCAGAGAGAAGGAGGAUUGAAGAUUCUGAAUAAUGGUGAAGAUGGAGGUGAAUGAAGAUGAAGAUGGUGAAUUGUGGAAAAUGGUGUGUGAAGAUUUUGAGGCUCUACCCUUCUUCCUUCAAAGUCUGCAAGCGAGACAAUGAUGAAGACUGAUAGUGCUUUUUUUUUUUUUUGGUCCAUUGUAGGUGGGUGAAGCUGACUAUUUAUAGGAGCAAUCAUUGAGUGAUCAUUAGGAAUCCUUAGAUGUGGGACUCAGCAUUAUAGCUUGCAAGGGCCAUAGCCAGUUAAAUCCGCUGUUUACAUUUGAUAUAGUGAACACAUCCAAGGAGCUAUUGGUAAAGUUAGAACCAUCAAAAUCUUGUAGCUGAUUUCCCCAGCAGUUGACUGGAAGAAGCACAAAGAUCCCGAUAACCCCAGGAUUCCAACAGAUGUCAAAAGAGCUGACACAAUCAUGUUCUCAACGAAAUCUCAGAGUAACAGUUUUCUAGUUGCUUUGACAAUGAAGAGAAGAAUAAAGAGAAAACUUGAAUGAAUGUAUCUAUGUGGGCUAGUGUAAUAUUUUUUGGUUGUAAUUUUGUAAUGAAUGAAUUUCCUGACUUGAAGCAUAACUUGUGAUAAAUGAUGAAUUGUGUAUAAAAAACAAACGGAUGAAGUUA
This is a long non-coding RNA of Vicia villosa (hairy vetch), 1323 nucleotides long. RefSeq lists it as uncharacterized. Lineage: Eukaryota; Viridiplantae; Streptophyta; Magnoliopsida; Fabales; Fabaceae. The transcript has 3 exons. The record is from RefSeq and is a predicted model, not a curated record.